AAGAUAGAUAGAAAGGUCGAAU
This 22-nucleotide microRNA is filed under the name Bombyx mori (domestic silkworm). RNAcentral describes it as "bmo-miR-3214". Lineage: Eukaryota; Metazoa; Arthropoda; Insecta; Lepidoptera; Bombycidae. The record is from miRBase by way of RNAcentral.